RNAcentral lists this long non-coding RNA (942 nucleotides) under Homo sapiens (human). Its description in RNAcentral is "HSALNT0298513". Lineage: Eukaryota; Metazoa; Chordata; Mammalia; Primates; Hominidae. The record is from RNAcentral.
GAGUUCGCAGCCGGAACGUUGCAGGCACUUGUUUCCUCAGUGGAUGCCUUUCGGCGCGCCGCCGCCCGGCGCCGCGGGACUGGGAGACCGGGAGUUGAGAAGAGGAGGAAGAAUAAUGGGAGGAGACAGGACCUUUUUCAACUUGACAAAUAGAGUCAACUUUUAUAACACUGUUACUGGGAAUACUUGACUUACUAAGCUUUUACUGAACACUUUAAUUUUGGGAGUACAAUUUCUAAACUCACGAAAUAAUCUUCAUGCAACAAGAUGUUAUUUUAUCAAAUUUUGGUAUUACAUGCUCAUUCUUUGACAAAUUUUAAUUAACAGAUUUCUGAGAGAGCAGACACCAUCUUAUUUCUGUUGAAUUGUAUUUAGUAACUCAAAAGGCAUAUACCAAGCUGUCAGAAGCAGCUUCAUUUAAAAGGGAUUAUAAUACCUACCUAUGACAGAGACUGCCAAAUAUACUCCAGUAGCCAUUCUGCUUUUCUUCUUUUCAGAAAUAAAAUUUCUAGUCCUGCCUGAAGUUUAAGCUAGCCCAUGACUACACAAGUGCAACUGUAUUUCCCAGGUAGAUGCCGGUAGAUUGGGCCCAGUAAGUUUGGGCCGUUGGGAUGUGAAAGGAAGAGAUGCGGGCAACUUUUUGGGUCAUCUUCUUAAAGAAAAAGCCAUUUGUCCUGGAUGCCCUCUUUUCUUUUUUCUCUUUGGCUGGGAAAUGACAAGAAUUAAAGCAGCAGCCUUGGAUCCAGAGAUGGACGCCAAUUGAUGAAGACAGCAGAACUGACUGGCUAGUCUGGGUUCCCUGGAGCAGAGCUGUCUCUCCACCCUAGGUUAUCCACUUACUUUUGUACUGUUAUGUGAGAGAGAAAUAAACUUCUAUCUUCUUUAAGCCCUUGUUUUUUUUGGUAUUUCUUUGUUAUAGCUGAUUAGUCUGCCCAGUGGCCU